RNAcentral lists this non-coding RNA (104 nucleotides) under Psychromonas sp. CNPT3. Its description in RNAcentral is "TPP riboswitch aptamer (THI element)". It matches the Rfam family "TPP riboswitch aptamer (THI element)". Rfam says of the family: Vitamin B(1) in its active form thiamin pyrophosphate (TPP) is an essential coenzyme that is synthesised by coupling of pyrimidine and thiazole moieties in bacteria. RNAcentral also lists the same sequence under 1 other name. Lineage: Bacteria; Pseudomonadati; Pseudomonadota; Gammaproteobacteria; Alteromonadales; Psychromonadaceae. The record is from Rfam by way of RNAcentral.
CACUUCUUGUCGGAGUGCCUUAGGGCUGAGAUCACAGAUUAUAUGUGGGAUCCGUGGAACCUGAUUGGGUUAAUACCUGCGAAGGGAACAGGUCAAAGUUGCAC